UGAACGCUGGCGGCGUGCUUAACACAUGCAAGUCGAACGAUGAAGCCUAGCUUGCUAGGUGGAUUAGUGGCGCACGGGUGAGUAAUAUAUAGAUAAUGUGCCUCUUAGUCUGGGAUAGCCAUUGGAAACGAUGAUUAAUACUAGAUACUCCUUCUAACUCUAAUGUUAGUUGGGAAAGUUUUUCGCUAAGAGAUCAGUCUAUAUCCCAUCAGCUUGUUGGUAGUGUAAGAGACUACCAAGGCAAUGACGGGUAGCGGGUUUGAGAGGAUGAUCCGCCACACUGGUACUGAGACACGGACCAGACUCCUACGGGAGGCAGCAGUGAGGAAUAUUGCACAAUGGGGGAAACCCUGAUGCAGCAACGCCGCGUGGAGGAUGACGCAUUUCGGUGUGUAAACUCCUUUUAUAUGUCAAGAAAAUGACGGUAGCAUAUGAAUAAGCACCGGCUAACUCC
RNAcentral lists this ribosomal RNA (454 nucleotides) under uncultured bacterium. Its description in RNAcentral is "bacterial SSU rRNA". It matches the Rfam family "Bacterial small subunit ribosomal RNA", at positions 30 to 504 of the family's 1533-position model. The record is from RNAcentral.